RNAcentral lists this long non-coding RNA (559 nucleotides) under Phoenix dactylifera (date palm). Its description in RNAcentral is "long non-coding RNA (PDAC_LNC021722)". The record is from RNAcentral. Lineage: Eukaryota; Viridiplantae; Streptophyta; Magnoliopsida; Arecales; Arecaceae.
UUUUGGUAUCAAACUUUGUGCUUCAUUGAAUAUCUUUUGAAAGUUGAAUUUUCAUUUGUACUUAAUUGGUAAAUCAUUUGUUGUGAAGAAUUUCACCUGUCUUAGUACCAGAAAUUUUCAUUGGAAUCUACUAAUGAGUUCUUAUUGGCUUGCACUUUAGAGUUUUAAUCCUGUGCCAAUUCAUUUUAAUUGAUUUUAAUGUUAUUCUCUUUAACGGAGUAAAAGAAAGUCUUUAAAAGAGCUCUAAAAGAACCUUCAAAGCUUUGAAUUUUAUGUAUGUUCUAAGAUAUAUCAUAAAUUGCAUGAAUUCGUAUUUUGGUACUUGUGCCCGAAUGCUUUUAUUAUCAUAAAAGAACUUUAGAGUCAUUAAGAAUCGAUGAUCCAACAUGAUGGUAUAUUUUUCAAGUAUAUAAGUUUUGAUCUUAUACUCUGAAAAUUAAUUAGAUUGCACUCAUAUUGUUAAAUACUUAAUAUAUUGGGCAAAAGAUCUUAAAUGACCAAACUUUCAUACUUGUUAUUAAAGAUCUUUCCCAAAAAAAAAAAGAUUAGAUUUUCAUUC